Molecule: RNase P RNA, 395 nt
Filed under: Arcticibacter tournemirensis
Lineage: Bacteria; Pseudomonadati; Bacteroidota; Sphingobacteriia; Sphingobacteriales; Sphingobacteriaceae
Description: Pedobacter sp. TF5-37.2-LB10 Bacterial RNase P class A
Rfam family: Bacterial RNase P class A
About the family: Ribonuclease P (RNase P) is a ubiquitous endoribonuclease, found in archaea, bacteria and eukarya as well as chloroplasts and mitochondria. Its best characterised activity is the generation of mature 5'-ends of tRNAs by cleaving the 5'-leader elements of precursor-tRNAs.
Source: Rfam by way of RNAcentral
UGAACAGGCCGUUCUAUCGCCAUCCGUUACGGAGGGAGGAAAGUCCGGGCAACACAGAGCAUCCUGCUUCCUAACGGGAAGGGCGCAAACUAACGUUUGUGUACGGAAAGUGCCACAGAAAACAAACUACCUUUACAAUAAAAAUUGCAAGGGAAAAGGUGAAAACGCGAGGUAAGAGCUCACGGCUUUGUAUGGCGACAUGCAUUGCGGUAAACCCCAGGAGUUGAAAGACCAAAUAAGCUGGUGACAAGGGGCUGCUCGUCCCUGUUCUUCCGCAAGGUUGAUGCAUCAGCGGGUAGGUCGUUAGAUCCUGUCAGCAAUGGCAGGGCCAGAUAAAUGAUAGAAGCUCAUGUAACUCAUGAGAACAGAACCCGGCUUACAGGCCUGUAUUUUUA